AUUUUAUUGUAUUAUUUUUAGAAUUAAUUCCAUAGAGUAAAUGCGUAUAAUAUAAGAUUUUUCAUCCUUAUUCAGAUGAAUUUGAUUAAAUGCAUAUAUAGACUUUCCUUUAGACAUGGAGAGUAAGCUGCUGCUUUUGGUGGUUUGUGUGAUUGGUUGUGCAGUGUCGUGCAUUAAGGCUGAUGGGCACCUAACAACGCCAACAAAUUUUACUGUGAGAAUACCAUUAAAGCCUUUCCACUAUUAUUUGGUCCAAGGAACCAUUACUUCACUUUCAAACAACAUUGAACAAAAAGGUAAUUUGUUUAGAAUCCACAUCAAAAUCAGUUCCUAGCGAGCCACUGUUAUGCAGAGUUUAGCUCCAACACACCUGCUAGGAAAUUUUAGCACUCCUUGAUUAGCUGGGUCAGGUGUGUUUAAUUAGGGUUGUUGCUAAGCUCUACAGGUCUGGAGUUAGGUUUGUCCAAAAUCACCCACAGUGAGUGUGGAAGAACCAAACUGUGUUUGGACAACCCUUAAGGAUGUGAGCCUUCAGGCAGCUCUCAGUGUUUCUUCACCUCAGUACAGAUUAUCUUAAGUAGGUCUACCUUCAAUCUGAUGGUUGAGCUCUGUGGCAACUCCAUCGGUUACAUCGCUUUAGCAGAUGGAGUGACAUCUAGUGUGGCUCAGGGAAGGUUAAGAUCAUCAUCCAGUUACUUCUUUGACCUUUUCAGACAGAAUUGUGUGUGAAAAAAAUCAUGUCUUCAUUAUUCCAACCCAAUCUCAUGAGUAAAACUGCGAAGACAUGAGGAACAAGGAACGAGAAAGCUUCCAGAGAAAGAAGAUAUGCAAUUGUAUACUAUGUGGAAGUGUUGUCACUAUGUCACUGUCACUAUGUUUUACCAUUGCAAUUUAAAUAAAACAAAUAAUUCACAAAUUUCAAC
Long non-coding RNA from Cyprinus carpio carpio, 923 nucleotides. NCBI's taxonomy places the organism in Eukaryota, Metazoa, Chordata, Actinopteri, Cypriniformes, Cyprinidae. The record is from Ensembl.